This 253-nucleotide ribosomal RNA is filed under the name uncultured bacterium. Its description in RNAcentral is "partial 16S ribosomal RNA". It matches the Rfam family "Bacterial small subunit ribosomal RNA", at positions 524 to 776 of the family's 1533-position model. The record is from RNAcentral.
UACGAGGGGGGCGAGCGUUGUUCGGAAUUAUUGGGCGUAAAGGGUGCGUAGGCGGUUCCGCAAGUCCUGUGUGAAAUCUUCGGGCUCAACUCGAAGUCUGCACGGGAAACUGCGGGGCUUGAGUGUGGGAGAGGUGAGUGGAAUUCCCGGUGUAGCGGUGAAAUGCGUAGAUAUCAGGAGGAACACCGAUGGCGAAGGCAGUGGGCUGGGCCGGCACUGACGCUGAGGAGCGAAAGCGUGGGGAGCGAACAGG